AGCAGCCGCGGUAAUUCCAGCUCCAAUAGCGUAUAUUAAAGUUGUUGCAGUUAAAAAGCUCGUAGUUGAAUUUCGGGGUCAGCAGGUUGGUCGUGCCAAUGGUAUGCACUGGCCUUGCUGAUUCCUCCCUCUUGAUGAGCCGUAAUGCCAUUAAUUUGGUGUUGCGGGGAAUCAGGACUGUUACUUUGAAAAAUUAGAGUGUUUAAAGCAGGCAAGCGCUUGAAUACAUUAGCAUGGAAUAAUGAAAUAGGACGUUCGAUCCUAUUUUGUUGGUUUCUAGGAUUGACGUAAUGAUUAAUAGGGAUAGUUGGGGGCAUUAGUAUUCAAUUGUCAGAGGUGAAAUUCUUGGAUUUAUUGAAGACUAACUACUGCGAAAGCAUUUGCCAAGGAUGUUUUCAUUAAUCAAGAACGAAAGUUAGGGGAUCGAAGACGAUCAGAUACCGUCGUAGUCUUAACCAUAAACUAUGCCGACUAGGGAUCGGAUGAUGUUAAUUUUUAAUGA
This 502-nucleotide small RNA is filed under the name uncultured Glomus. RNAcentral describes it as "SSU rRNA". It matches the Rfam family "Eukaryotic small subunit ribosomal RNA", at positions 569 to 1074 of the family's 1831-position model. Lineage: Eukaryota; Fungi; Glomeromycota; Glomeromycetes; Glomerales; Glomeraceae. The record is from RNAcentral.